CAAGGCGUAGCUAUAAGCUCCAAAGCAUUCAGCUUACACCUGAAAGAUGCCCCCAAUAAGGGUCGCCUUGA
Molecule: non-coding RNA, 71 nt
Organism: Coturnix japonica (Japanese quail)
Lineage: Eukaryota; Metazoa; Chordata; Aves; Galliformes; Phasianidae
Source: Ensembl